RNAcentral lists this long non-coding RNA (1048 nucleotides) under Equus caballus (horse). RNAcentral's name for it is "lncRNA (ENSECAG00000046811.1)". Lineage: Eukaryota; Metazoa; Chordata; Mammalia; Perissodactyla; Equidae. The record is from RNAcentral.
AUCAGAUCGGUCCUCCUCCUCCAGCUCUGAGGUCAUUCAGAGAAAGCUGAGGAUAAAAUGCAGCUACUCCCUCUGGAGCAGGCGGCACACGGUGUUCUUGUGCCUGAUAAAUGUACCAAGAACUUCAUUAUCUGAUGAGGAAGGCUCCCGGGCCGCCCACGCCUGCUGCCAAGCCAGCCGAGGGCGUUGCUGCAGGUGGGAAGCAGCGUGGGACGGCUGGGCCCGCCUCCUUGAGCCAAAGCCCCUAAUGAGGCCAGCUCAGGAAGAUUCCUCUGGACCAGUCUCAGCCUCAGCAGGAGGGACGGACAGGGACUUUGGACAAGACUGAGGCUCUGAGAGGUUGUGGAGGUGUCACCCAGCUGGAUAAGGGUCAGAAAUAAGAUGGAAAGUAUUCCGAUCUCUGUAAUGACAAUACCCAGCACUUACACAGAACCUUCUACGGGACCCGCACGGCACAUCUAUUCACUCAUUCAAUCCUCCAGCAACCCACGAGGGCAGGACUGUCGCUGUCUUGGUGCCACACGCGAGGAAACUGAGGCACAGAGAAAGAAGCUCGCCAAAGGUAAAAUCGCCAGCAGCAAGUUAGAGGUUGCAAGGCCUUCCUCCCCACAAAGGGUUAAGUGGGGGCCGGUGAUGUAAGUGCUGAUCCCACCGGUGUUUGAACAGGAAAAGAACUCGGGCGCUGUUUUUCUUCUCGGAAAGCCAAUCCCAGCGGAGUCGCUGGGGUUUUUAAAACCAAAUGUCUUUACAGCCUGAAAUGAAUAACCAUGACCUCAGCCUUCACACACGCAGCCCCUGCUGCUAUACAUUUAGCUUCGGCCGCUCUCCGGGCAGCCUGUAAAUAACCCACGUCUGCAGAGCACAUGUGGGGAGGACGGGCUGCCGUCAGAAACGGUUUCAGUUGGAAGGCAGGGCCUCCAGCCCUGUGAACGUCACAGUCAUCUGUUAGCGAUUUCCCGCUCCCAUUAAAGCCAGACGCUGGAUCCGUUUGCGUCGCUGCGGACUGUCCUGAGGGAUUCAUUUUUAUUGCUUGGACUCCAUCUCUGAG